This 794-nucleotide ribosomal RNA is filed under the name Chloroflexi bacterium enrichment culture clone phylotype P7. RNAcentral's name for it is "bacterial SSU rRNA". It matches the Rfam family "Bacterial small subunit ribosomal RNA", at positions 8 to 830 of the family's 1533-position model. The record is from RNAcentral. Lineage: Bacteria; Bacillati; Chloroflexota.
AGGGUUUGAUCAUGGCUCAGGACAAACGCUGGCGGCGCGCCUAAAACAUGCAAGUCGUGCGGACCAGCUUGUCUGGUCAGCGGCGAACGGCUGAGUAACACGUGGGUGACCUACCGUCGAGCGGGGGAUAACCGGCCGAAAGGUUGGCUAAUACCGCAUGCGCUCACUCGGGCUGCCGGGUGAGGAAAGCCGCAAGGCGCUCGGCGAUGGGCCCGCGGCCGAUUAGCUGGUUGGUGGGGUAACGGCCCACCAAGGCGACGAUCGGUAGCUGGUCUGAGAGGAUGGCCAGCCAGACGGGGACUGAGACACGGCCCCGACUCCUACGGGAGGCAGCAGUUAGGAAUCUUGGGCAAUGGGCGAAAGCCUGACCCAGCGACGCCGCGUGGGGGACGAAGGCCCUCGGGUUGUAAACCCCUUUUGCCAGGGAAGAAGCUGACGGUACCUGGCGAAUAAGCCCCGGCUAACUCCGUGCCAGCAGCCGCGGUAAUACGGAGGGGGCGAGCGUUGUCCGGAUUUACUGGGCGUAAAGGGCGCGUAGGUGGUAUGGCGCGUCGGCCGUGAAAGCCCCCGGCUCAACUGGGGGAGGCCGGCCGAUACGGCGAUGCUGGAGGACGGGAGAGGGAAGCGGAAUUCCCGGUGGAGCGGUGAAAUGCGUAGAGAUCGGGAGGAACACCAGUGGCGAAGGCGGCUUCCUGGCCCGUUCCUGACGCUGAGGCGCGAAAGCGUGGGGAGCGAUCCGGAUUAGAUACCCGGGUAGUCCACGCCCUAAACGAUGGAUGCUGGGUUGUCGGGGG